UAUAAACAGUUUGAGCAUUAAUUUUAAUUGAUGCUUUCUCAUCAGCUAGUGUAGCAAUUUCGUCUUCUGAAAGAUCUAAAGCUUUAUAAAUAUUAGAAUACCAAAAGUGAGGACCUCCUAAUUUCAUUGUUGGAAUUAACAUAGCAGCUACACCAAAAAUAUGAGGGAUUGGAAAAAAUAUUUUUUAAACUUUUGUUUCAUUUCAUUUAUUGCAAGUUCAUAA
Molecule: long non-coding RNA, 223 nt
Filed under: Nicotiana benthamiana
Lineage: Eukaryota; Viridiplantae; Streptophyta; Magnoliopsida; Solanales; Solanaceae
Description: long non-coding RNA (NBEN_LNC030931)
Source: RNAcentral